This is an RNA transcript of Olea europaea var. sylvestris, 2476 nucleotides long. RefSeq lists it as uncharacterized. Lineage: Eukaryota; Viridiplantae; Streptophyta; Magnoliopsida; Lamiales; Oleaceae. The transcript has 2 exons. The record is from RefSeq and is a predicted model, not a curated record.
GAUAUUGCCACAUGAUGGACUUGAUUGCGCGAAGAUACCUUGUUAUGGUCAACGACAAUGAUGGUGAGGUAAAAGAGUAUUAUCAGAUGCCUGGGCUUUGGAUACUGCUCAAAAAACCAUAUGUGGCAGAGGCUUAAUCCUGAAGGUGAUAGACCUUAUGCAAGUAUGUAAGUUGCAUUGUAUAUCUGAAUUUGAAUUAGCAUUGCUUGGCUGGCUUUUGAACAGCUUUUCUACCAUAACAGUCUGGUUAGUAGUGUGUUUCCUUUCACACUAUCGUUGAACUGUGCUGCUGUACUGCUCCUUUAUUUUCUAUUGCUGCUUAAAACUUCUAAUUAACCAAUUUUUAAAGCAUGUUUGGCUAAUCCUAGAAAGUAAACUUACCUAUUUUUUUUCUCAAAAAAGUAAUUAAAUGCUUUUAAAAAUUAACAUAUCAUGCUGAAUUGUUUUUGAAAAAGUUUCUUUUAAAAAAUAGCAGACCAGUUUGGGAGAAGAAGUAACUUAUAAAGAUCCAGACAUGAUUUGGCCAAGCUUAAAGUACUUUUAAUUAACUUUACUUAUUUCUUAAGCUUAUCCAAACAGGCUCUUAGAUGAUCUCAAGACAAUAUUAUAAUUGUUACUUGGGGAGGUUCCCCACCAUUAAUUUGUUCAGACUUUUAACUUGUCACUACAAAAAAUGUUUUAAAUUGGUUUGUGCAUUUUUCUUGAAAUGAUUUCGAGUAAGUGGGAUUUUGGUUUAUCCAAUUGGUUUUAUAGCGGGAUUGGGCUACUUUGUGUGGGAUUUAAUGCAUUGCUUGAUCGUUUGAUUUGAAAGGUUAUGUAAAUUUUUUGUGGAUUUCGAUCUCAAUUUGGUUUUUGGUUGAUUUGAAGAUAAAAUGGGGAUGAUGGAAGCGAUUGAACUGUGAAAAUUUGGUUUCCAUGUUUAAGAAAUUGGGAUAAGACUGCCAACUUAAUUUAUCAUGUGAAUCAGUUAUUUGAUGCCAUUAAUUUGGCGUAGAAUUUGCUAUAAGAUGCAAGUAUCUUUUGCAACGUAGCGUAGAUAGAGAAAUCACUAGCAUCUAAUUCCUUGAGUUUUGAUUUUUUGUGCUUUAUAGUAUACUGCAAAACAAAUUUCUUCAGUCACUAUUAGAGUUAUUGUUCUUUUAAUCAUAUACUCCUAGCUUUCCAUUCUUCUUCAUUUUUUACUAUAUAUGCUAUUUGCUUUUGUUGAUGCCUACUACCGUGCAACAACAAUUAAAAGUGGACACUUGGACUGAUUUUUUAAGUCUUGUGAGAUUCAGAUAUAUAAAUGUAGAGGAUAUCUAUUCUAAAUGAUCGAGUACAAAUCUUGGUGCCCAUCUCAUGCUUUCUAUAGGAUAGAACUAACAAUUUUGGAAAAAUUUAAUGCAGUAGAUUCGAUUUUUGGUUCUUUGGGUGAAGAUCCAUUAAAGAAAGAGCUCAUUGAAACUCCUGCUCGCUUUGUGAAGUAGUUGAUUAAGUUUAGAAGCUAAAUUUGAUCUUGUCUUGGCAUAUAGUAUCUUCAAUUUCUUCCCAAGUAUGUGAAUUUCUUUUACUUUGGUAAGUGAAGAUCUUAUAGCUUCGUGAAUAAGAACUUUUGGCUUCAAGAAGUGUUGUAUGUUGAACUGGAGAUGUAAUUUCCUGCUUACACUAAUAUCAGAAUACAUGGAAGUCAAAUUAACAAAAGGCUUUGUUAUGUGGUUAAGAAUGACAUCUGAUAUAAAUAAAUUACUCAAAUAAAGAAGUUCAAUGAGCACUUGAAACGACAUUAAAAACUUUAAGAUUGAUACAGUAUUGGUAUGGAGUUUGGUUUAAGGUUUCACUGCAAAAAGGGAUUUGGUGAUGUUGCUUCUAGGAUUUGCAGUAAAAUUGGCACGAGAAGCAAAGGAAGUUGCUGUAAAUGUCUAUGUUGCAAUGCGAUAUUGGCAUCCACUGACUGAGGAACCCAUUCAACAGGCAUGUUACAAGAAUUGAAACAACAUACGCUCACAUGUGCUCAUUCUUUAUUUAUAUUUCUCUACACUGGGAGCAUUCUAAAUAGAAUCUAUGUUUUCUUCACUUACAGAUGGUGUUUUGUAGGAAACUAUUAACAUUUUUUAUUGUUGAUAUAAGUGAACGAAAAAAAGAAUAUGCAUCAAUCUUUUGAAGAGAGCUGGACAUUACAUGACAUUGCAGGUACAAAAAUAAAGCAGCUACAUCUCAGUCUCCAGUUUAUCGUUGUUGGUGCAAAGCUUUUGUCGUGUUUGCUGCAGGGGGAGGCUGCAUCCUUUACAGAUAGAUAUGGACUAGCGAUUAGCCUUCCGUUGGCAACUACUACUUUACUAAAUAAGCAAAUUCAAUAUCGGUAUUCUGAUGGAGUAGGUAGUUACUAAUAUUUAGAAAGGGUGACUUUGUUUUAUGUGUUCUAAAUACACAUGAUGUCUUAAAUUUUAAUUUUUUAGUGCGUUUCUUUGUGUUGUAAUAUUAGCUUUUGAAAUGAUCA